GGUUUUGGGAAGGCAUUGCCUGCCAGUGACAACUGUUUAACGGCCGCGGUAUCCUGACCGUGCAAAGGUAGCAUAAUCAUUUGUUCUCUAAAUAAGGACUUGUAUGAAUGGCCGCACGAGGGUUUUACUGUCUCUUACUUCCAAUCAGUGAAAUUGACCUUCCCGUGAAGAGGCGGGAAUGCACAAAUAAGACGAGAAGACCCUAUGGAGCUUUAACUAACCAACCCAAAGAGAAUAGAUUUAACCAUUAAGGAAUAACAACAAUCUCCAUGAGUUGGUAGUUUCGGUUGGGGUGACCUCGGAGAAUAAAAAAUCCUCCGAGCGAUUUUAAAGACUAGACCCACAAGUCAAAUCACUCUAUCGCUCAUUGAUCCAAAAACUUGAUCAACGGAACAAGUUACCCUAGGGAUAACAGCGCAAUCCUAUUCAAGAGUCCAUAUCGACAAUAGGGUUUACGACCUCGAUGUUGGAUCAGGACAUCCUGAUGGUGCAACCGCUAUCAAAGGUUCGUUUGUUCAACGAUUAAAGUCCUACGUGAUCUGAGUUCAGACCGGA
Molecule: ribosomal RNA, 555 nt
Filed under: Phascolosoma esculenta
Lineage: Eukaryota; Metazoa; Annelida; Sipuncula; Phascolosomatiformes; Phascolosomatidae
Description: partial 16S ribosomal RNA
Rfam family: Bacterial large subunit ribosomal RNA
Source: RNAcentral